GGGGGUGUAGCUCAGUGGUAGAGCCCAUGCUUGGUGUGCAUGAGGUUCUGGGUUCAAUCCCCAAUGCCUCUG
Molecule: transfer RNA, 72 nt
Organism: Camelus ferus (Wild Bactrian camel)
Lineage: Eukaryota; Metazoa; Chordata; Mammalia; Artiodactyla; Camelidae
Rfam family: tRNA
About the family: Transfer RNA (tRNA) molecules are approximately 80 nucleotides in length. Their secondary structure includes four short double-helical elements and three loops (D, anti-codon, and T loops).
Source: Rfam